CUCGUAGGUGGCCAACUAAGUCGGACGUGAAAUCCCUCGGCUUAACCGGGGAACUGCGUCCGAUACUGGUUGGCUUGAGUUUGGGAGAGGGAUGCGGAAUUCCAGGUGUAGCGGUGAAAUGCGUAGAUAUCUGGAGGAACACCGGUGGCGAAGGCGGCAUCCUGGACCAAUACUGACGCUGAGGAGCGAAAGCCAGGGGAGGCAAAACGG
Molecule: ribosomal RNA, 210 nt
Filed under: uncultured bacterium
Lineage: Bacteria
Description: partial 16S ribosomal RNA
Rfam family: Bacterial small subunit ribosomal RNA
Source: RNAcentral